AGCAGUAGCCGCGGUAAUACGAAGGGGGCUAGCGUUGCUCGGAAUGACUGGGCGUAAAGGGCUCGCAGGCGGUUUCUUAAGUCUGAUGUGAAAGCCCCCGGCUCAACCGGGGAGGGUCAUUGGAAACUGGGAAACUUGAGUGCAGAAGAGGAGAGUGGAAUUCCACGUGUAGCGGUGAAAUGCGUAGAGAUGUGGAGGAACACCAGUGGCGAAGGCGACUCUCUGGUCUGUAACUGACGCUGAGGAGCGAAAGCGUGGGGAGCGAACAGGAUUAGAUACCCCUGUAGUCCCUGUCUCUUAUAC
RNAcentral lists this ribosomal RNA (303 nucleotides) under uncultured bacterium. RNAcentral's name for it is "partial 16S ribosomal RNA". It matches the Rfam family "Bacterial small subunit ribosomal RNA", at positions 507 to 807 of the family's 1533-position model. The record is from RNAcentral.